CGUCGUUAAAUGCAUUCACAUUUUUAUCCCUACUUUCAUCUUUAGCAUCACUGUAUUGUUCUCCGGCGAAAGUUCGCCGCCUCAACCGCGGUUUUUCCUCCUUCCCUAACAUCUAAUUCUCACCCUUAACUUCUAAUUCUCACCCUUAACUUCUAAUUCAAUAGCUUAGUCAUUAACUCAACCCUCCCCCAAUUCUACUCUCAUUUUUCCUUCAUUCAUCUUCCUCCAAACCGAUCAAUUCCUCCUGAAAUUCGGCGAAUCCACAACUGGAAUCCACAAUCUCUCGCUUGAAAUCUCUCUCCGAUUCUACAGCGGAGUGUCUUCCCCACUUUCAUCACAUUCGGCCGAACGCCAGCGAAAUUGCAGUGUCUUCCUCCACCGCCUGCAUCUUAGGUUUAUUCCUUUUUUCUUCCUAAUCGGACGAGAGAAAUUGGAGAGUAGAUCGAUGAUGAGUUCGUUCUCCAAAUCAAAAGGUUCAGGAAUUUAAAUAUAAGCUUCAGAAGAGCUUUUGUGACACAAGAGCAUACUGUUAUGCAAGAGCAUUACUCUCGCUUUCACUAACGCCUAUCUGUUAUGCCGGUUGACCUCUUGCCAGAAAACAAAUGUUUUGGUUCGAGAGAGAAUCUUUGAAGCCCUCUCCAGUGAUAACUUCUUUGGUGGUCUUGACAUCGACCUUGAUGGAUCAAGUCCAAGAGAUGAUAGUUGUCUCCCUUUCUAUCAGAUGUAAACUUUUUAUCAUUAUCGAAUUUUCUUUGUAUAGUUGGUCAGCUCUCAGCCGUGCUCUUCUUAAUUC
Molecule: non-coding RNA, 793 nt
Organism: Salvia hispanica
Lineage: Eukaryota; Viridiplantae; Streptophyta; Magnoliopsida; Lamiales; Lamiaceae
Source: RefSeq, a predicted model, not a curated record